This 439-nucleotide ribosomal RNA is filed under the name uncultured bacterium. RNAcentral describes it as "partial 16S ribosomal RNA". It matches the Rfam family "Bacterial small subunit ribosomal RNA", at positions 338 to 795 of the family's 1533-position model. The record is from RNAcentral.
CCUACGGGUGACAGCAGUGGGGGAUAUUGCACAAUGGGGGGAACCCUGAUGCAGCGACGCCGCGUGGGUGAAGAAGCGCCUCGGCGCGUAAAGCCCUGUCAGCAGGGAAGAAAAUGACGGUACCUGAAGCAGAAGCUACGGCAAACUACGGACCAGCAGCCGCGGUAAUACGGGGGAUGCGAGGUUUAUCCGGAUUUAUGGGGGUAAAAGGGUGCGUAGGCGGAAUGCCAAGUCAGCGGGAAAAUCGCGGGGCUCACCCUCGCUCCGCCGUUGAAACUGGCGUUCUUGAGUGGGCGAGAGGGAUGCGGAAUGCGUGGGGUAGCGGUGAAAUGCAUAGAUAUCACGCAGAACUCCGAUUGCGAAGGCAGCAUACCGGCGCCCAACUGACGCUGAAGCACGAAAGCGUGGGUAUCGAACAGGAUUAGAUACCCCUGUAGUC